This is a non-coding RNA of Ameiurus melas (black bullhead), 68 nucleotides long. Lineage: Eukaryota; Metazoa; Chordata; Actinopteri; Siluriformes; Ictaluridae. The record is from the annotation of a GenBank genome assembly.
GGCAGCUCAGUGGUUUGGACAUUGGACUCCUAAUCGGAAGGCCAUGAGUUCAAAUCCCAGCACUGCCA